RNAcentral lists this microRNA precursor (195 nucleotides) under Oryza glumipatula. Its description in RNAcentral is "MIR812 microRNA precursor family". It matches the Rfam family "MIR812 microRNA precursor family". The record is from Rfam by way of RNAcentral. Lineage: Eukaryota; Viridiplantae; Streptophyta; Magnoliopsida; Poales; Poaceae.
AAAAAGGCAAACCCUGGGUUUCCGUGCCAAUAUUUGACUGUCCAUCUUAUAUGAAAUUUUUUUGUAAUUAGUAUUUUCAUUGUUGUUAGAUGAUAAAACAAGAUUAAUACUUUAUGCGUGACUUAUCUUUUUAAUUUUUUUCAAAUAAGACGGACGGUCAAACGUUGGACACGGAAACCAGAGUUUGUCUUUUUU